AGUGAACGCUGGCGGUAGGCCUAACACAUGCAAGUCGAACGGCAGCACAGUAAGAGCUUGCUCUUACGGGUGGCGAGUGGCGGACGGGUGAGGAAUACAUCGGAAUCUACUUUUUCGUGGGGGAUAACGUAGGGAAACUUACGCUAAUACCGCAUACGACCUACGGGUGAAAGCGGGGGAUCUUCGGACCUUGCGCGAUUGAAUGAGCCGAUGUCGGAUUAGCUAGUUGGCGGGGUAAAGGCCCACCAAGGCGACGAUCCGUAGCUGGUCUGAGAGGAUGAUCAGCCACACUGGAACUGAGACACGGUCCAGACUCCUACGGGAGGCAGCAGUGGGGAAUAUUGGACAAUGGGCGCAAGCCUGAUCCAGCAAUACCGCGUGGGUGAAGAAGGCCUUCGGGUUGUAAAGCCCUUUUGUUGGGAAAGAAAAGCAGCAGGUUAAUACCCCGCUGUUCUGACGGUACCCAAAGAAUAAGCACCGGCUAACUUCGUG
RNAcentral lists this ribosomal RNA (492 nucleotides) under uncultured bacterium. RNAcentral describes it as "partial 16S ribosomal RNA". It matches the Rfam family "Bacterial small subunit ribosomal RNA", at positions 29 to 507 of the family's 1533-position model. The record is from RNAcentral.